RNAcentral lists this long non-coding RNA (385 nucleotides) under Gossypium barbadense (sea-island cotton). Its description in RNAcentral is "long non-coding RNA (GBAR_LNC007337)". Lineage: Eukaryota; Viridiplantae; Streptophyta; Magnoliopsida; Malvales; Malvaceae. The record is from RNAcentral.
UCUAGCUUGUGGAUAUCGACGUCUAACCCCAACUUCAUUUUAUCUUCUUCUAGCUGCUCUAUCUUCUUCCCCAACUCCGAGUUUCUUUUCUCAAAAUCUUGCUUAAUGAUCUCUAACUCGGAUGGGAUGACCCGUAAAUGCUCCUCUAUCGGUUGUGUGUUCCCUUGAUUCUGCCUAGGGAUGUUGUCGUUGACUCUCCUACCCCACCACCAUUCAUACUCGGGGGUCGUCAUCGGACCUGCAGUGAAUCCUUUUAUUCUUCGAGUUUGGUUCCAUGCAUCUGAUAUCUCGCGAACCCUCUUUUUAUAAUUGUUGUCUUUAUAGGGGAACUCACAUUGUGCCAACCCUUGUGUCACCGGUAUAAACUGCCUUGAUCGAUACUACC